CCUACGGGAGGCUGCAGUGAGGAAUAUUGGUCAAUGGACGCACGUCUGAACCAGCCAUGCCGCGUGCAGGAAGACGGCCCUAUGAGUUGUAAACUGCUUUUGUACGAGGGUAAACGCAGAUACGCGUAUCUGUCUGAAAGUAUCGUACGAAUAAGGAUCGGCUAACUCCGUGCCAGCAGCCGCGGUAAUUCGGAGGAUUCAAGCGUUAUCCGGAUUUAUUGGGUUUAAAGGGUGCGUAGGCGGUCGGAUAAGUUAGAGGUGAAAACCCGAGGCUCAACUUCGGAAUUGCCGCUGAUACUGUUCGGCUAGAGAGUAGGUGCGGUAGGCGGAAUGUAUGGUGUAGCGGUGAAAUGCUUAGAGAUCAUACAGAACACCGAUUGCGAAGGCAGCUUACCAAGCUACUUCUGACGUUGAGGCACGAAAGCGUGGGGAGCAAACAGGAUUAGAUACCCGAGUAGUC
This 460-nucleotide ribosomal RNA is filed under the name uncultured bacterium. Its description in RNAcentral is "partial 16S ribosomal RNA". It matches the Rfam family "Bacterial small subunit ribosomal RNA", at positions 338 to 795 of the family's 1533-position model. The record is from RNAcentral.